GCGGAAAAUGCAAUUUGCAAGCAUGUUUUCAAUUAAUCAAGGAACGGAAAGUUAGAGUUUUCGAAGACGAUUAGAUACCGUCCGUAGUUCUAACUAUAAAACUAUGCCAACUGGGCAUCUGGCGGUAGCACAUUAGGGCAUCGGCAGGCACCCCGCGGGAAACCAAAGUUAUAGGGUUCCGGGGGGGAGUAUGGUUGCAAAAUCGAAACUUAAAGGAAUUGACGGAGGGGCACACCAGAAGUGGAGCGUGCGGCUCAAUUUGACUCAACGCACGAAAACUUACUCGGUCCGGGGCGCCGUGAGGAUUGACACCCCCCAACGCUCUUUCUUGAUUUGGUGGGUGGUGGUGCAUGGCCGUUCGUAGUUGGUGGAGUGAUUUGUCUGGUUUAUUCCGAUAACGAACGAGACUCUAGCCUAUUAAUUAGUGUGG
RNAcentral lists this ribosomal RNA (430 nucleotides) under Pallisentis nandai. Its description in RNAcentral is "SSU rRNA". It matches the Rfam family "Eukaryotic small subunit ribosomal RNA", at positions 945 to 1363 of the family's 1831-position model. Lineage: Eukaryota; Metazoa; Acanthocephala; Eoacanthocephala; Gyracanthocephala; Quadrigyridae. The record is from RNAcentral.